Neofelis nebulosa (Clouded leopard) is the source of this 1092-nucleotide long non-coding RNA. RefSeq lists it as uncharacterized. The transcript is spliced from 3 exons. The record is from RefSeq and is a predicted model, not a curated record. NCBI's taxonomy places the organism in Eukaryota, Metazoa, Chordata, Mammalia, Carnivora, Felidae.
CCCCCCGCUGCGAGGCAGAAGAUGCCGGUGCUGCGCCCUCGUCUCUUGAUGUUAUCGCUUCGGCUUCCAGAGUCUGGCAGGAGACGCAGAAUUAAACGCAGACGCCGUGGUGCCAAAACAAAAUCGUGAAAAGAUUUGAAGCCCCCGUUCCCUAGACUCGCAGCCUAUCGAACUGGGAACAAGCCCGGCUUUGUUUCAUUUCCUGCACUGAAUGGGGGUGGAAGAGUCUGGAGCCGCAUUGGUUCCGAUAGCGGCGCUGACUCGAAGCCAGAGAAUUUGAAAUUGCUGAAACCCCAGGCAGAAUGGAGACAGCAAGAUGUGAUGGAGAAAAGCCUAUAUGCGGGGGAAAAAGACAUUCUUACCUUGGGUUAGGGAUGAGAAGUGGCAGCUUAAUACUGAGAACUAGAGAAGCACAAAGAGAGAGGGGGAAAAAAAAAAAAAGAAAAGAAAAGAAAAGGUGGUCCAGGUCCAGGCAAAGAAACCAGGCAGAGGCGGAGAACCAAUGCUCUCAACUAGCUGUGAGACACUGAGUGGUACUAUUCCGUCCCCGGGUCCCAGGCUCCUCAUCUGUAACAGGAAGAGCUUAGCUAUGGCAAGUGCAUAUUCCCCUGUGCGCUCGCUGUAACCAAUUCAGAGCGACCUGGUGACGCGUGUCGAAGACGUUGCUGAGAUCGCCCCUGAGAACAGUUGGAAAGGAUACCACGAGUGAUUGGCGAGGUCUGCCACGAACAGAUGAGAGAGAGAAAGAGGGGUAUGCAUGGUGCAAAUUUCCAUUCUUGGACUAGAUGAGCCUGUGGUCCCUUCCAGCUCUGAUAUUCUAGGUGGUGACGCCCCAUCUGCCGUCUCCCCGCCCCUGCCACCAGCCUAUUAUUCAUCAUUUAUUCUGGAAACUUCUCCCCGGGGCGCGCGGGAGCCAGGCCCGCGAGGAUGAGGUGCGGGCCGCGCAAGGGUGACUUCCCCACGGACGCUUUCUUCAAAGAACUGGGCCUACAGGCCAGACGUCAAGGCACAACAUGCUGAGGCCGAGGACGAAGGCGUCCGGGAAGAUCUGUACUCAUCCCAGCGGGGGGCCCCGGAAAGCCUUCCCCGAAG